This 575-nucleotide ribosomal RNA is filed under the name Taphrina insititiae. RNAcentral describes it as "eukaryotic LSU rRNA". It matches the Rfam family "Eukaryotic large subunit ribosomal RNA", at positions 62 to 648 of the family's 3401-position model. Lineage: Eukaryota; Fungi; Ascomycota; Taphrinomycetes; Taphrinales; Taphrinaceae. The record is from RNAcentral.
AAACUAACUAGGAUGCCUUCAGUAACGGCGAGCGAAGCAGGCAUAGCUCAAAUUUGUAAUCUGGCGCCCUUGGCGUCCGAGUUGUAUUUUCUAGAAGCGAGUUCGGCGACAGCUCCUGCCCAAGUCCGUUGGAACGCGGCGUCAUGGAGGGUGAGAAUCCCGUGAAUGGUAGGAUGUCUGUGCUAUGUGAACCGCCUUCGAAGAGUCGAGUUGUUUGGGAAUGCAGCUCUAAAUGGGAGGUAAAUUUCUUCUAAAGCUAAAUAUUGGCCAGAGACCGAUAGCGAACAAGUAGAGUGAUCGAAAGAUGAAAAGAACUUUGAAAAGAGAGUUAAACAGUACGUGAAAUUGUUGAAAGGGAAGCGCUUGAGAUCAGACUUCCUGUCUGGACUGUCCUUGCUUUUUGCUUGGGUCAACAGUCCAGGCGUGGAGGCCAGCAUCAGUUUUGACGGCCGGAUAAAGGCCCUGGGAAGGUAGCUCCCCUCGGGGAGUGUUAUAGCCCAGGGUGCAAUACGGCCAGUCGGGACUGAGGACCGCGGCUCUGCCUAGGAUAUGCUGGCGUAAUGGUCUUAAGCGAC